Molecule: transfer RNA, 71 nt
Filed under: Cheirogaleus major (Greater dwarf lemur)
Lineage: Eukaryota; Metazoa; Chordata; Mammalia; Primates; Cheirogaleidae
Description: tRNA-Gly
Rfam family: tRNA
About the family: Transfer RNA (tRNA) molecules are approximately 80 nucleotides in length. Their secondary structure includes four short double-helical elements and three loops (D, anti-codon, and T loops).
Source: RNAcentral
AUUCUUUUAGUAUUAUCCAGUACAAUUGACUUCCAAUCAAUUAGCUUCGGUAUAAAGCCCGAAAAAGAAUA